This 253-nucleotide ribosomal RNA is filed under the name uncultured bacterium. RNAcentral describes it as "partial 16S ribosomal RNA". It matches the Rfam family "Bacterial small subunit ribosomal RNA", at positions 524 to 776 of the family's 1533-position model. The record is from RNAcentral.
UACGAAGGGGGCUAGCGUUGCUCGGAAUCACUGGGCGUAAAGCGUACGUAGGCGGAUCUUUAAGUCAGGGGUGAAAUCCCAAGGCUCAACCUUGGAACUGCCUUUGAUACUGGGGAUCUCGAGUCCGGAAGAGGUGAGUGGAACUGCGAGUGUAGAGGUGAAAUUCGUAGAUAUUCGCAAGAACACCAGUGGCGAAGGCGGCUCACUGGUCCGGUACUGACGCUGAGGUGCGAAAGCGUGGGGAGCAAACAGG